UCAUAGCUAGUGCUGGUAUUGUUGUUGUUUUGAGGCUGGUAGGCCUGCUGUUGCGGACGAUGUUGUUGUUGUUGUUGUUGCUGGUGCUGAUAAUGUUGAGUUUCCCUAAAGGCAGGUGCUAUAUGAGACACCUGGUGCUGGUUACUAGCAGAGCGCACAGUUUUCCUCUUCGCAGAGGGUCUUCGUUUAGUAUGGGAAGACACGGCAUGUGUGUAAUACCCCAAAAUUU
This 229-nucleotide long non-coding RNA is filed under the name Lathyrus oleraceus (garden pea). Its description in RNAcentral is "Pisum sativum (pea) long non-coding RNA (PSAT_LNC014111)". The record is from RNAcentral. Lineage: Eukaryota; Viridiplantae; Streptophyta; Magnoliopsida; Fabales; Fabaceae.